UGGGGAAUCUUGCGCAAUGGGCGAAAGCCUGACGCAGCGACGCCGCGUGAGCGAUGAAGGCCUUCGGGUUGUAAAGCUCUGUGGGGAGGGAAGAAUAAGUGGAAGCUAAUACCUUCCAUGAUGACGGUACCUCCUUAGCAAGCACCGGCUAACUCUGUGCCAGCAGCCGCGGUAAUACAGAGGGUGCAAACGUUGUUCGGAAUUACUGGGCGUAAAGCGCGUGUAGGCGGCUAUGCAAGUCGGAUGUGAAAUCCCGCGGCUCAACCGUGGAAGUGCACUCGAUACUGCAAAGCUAGAGUCCUGGAGAGGAAGGUGGAAUGCUUGGUGUAGAGGUGAAAUUCGUAGAUAUCAAGCGGAACACCGGUGGCGAAGGCGGCCUUCUGGACAGUGACUGACGCUGAGACGCGAAAGCGUGGGGAGCAAACAGG
This 428-nucleotide ribosomal RNA is filed under the name uncultured bacterium. Its description in RNAcentral is "bacterial SSU rRNA". It matches the Rfam family "Bacterial small subunit ribosomal RNA", at positions 355 to 776 of the family's 1533-position model. The record is from RNAcentral.